UUCAAAUUUGUAUCUCCAAGGUCUGUAAUGGUUUCUGUAUUUGACACAUGGCUAGAGUUCAACAAGGAUACAGGAAAAGAUAAUGAAGUUGUAACUUCUACACAUUGUUUCAUAUUUGUAUGUCUUGUUUUCUGAAAGUAGAGCCGGCUUUUGCUACAGUUCAGCAGGCAGCACAGCCUUGGGUGUUACAAGGAAGAUCUCAAAGCCUUAUGUAGUAGACAUCUAUUUGGCAACUAUUGCCUGAACCUCUGUCUCAGCUUUUUGGGGAUUCCUACAGGAAAAUGAAGCAUGGCAAUAUUUCCUACUCUCUUGCUCUUAGGUUUUUCUGCUAGUACCUUUCUCUUUCACUGAAAAUUGUUGAUCUCAAUUCCAGUGAUCUCGGUUCCAUGAAGACAAAAAUAAUUCUUACUCAAAAAUGGGGUGUUGGGGCACCUGCACAGCUCAGAGAUUGAGCAUCUGCCUUUGGCUCAGGUCGUGAUACUGGGAUCCUGGGAUUGAGUCCCACAACAGGCUCUCUGCAGGAAGCCUGCUUCUCCCUCUGCCUAUGUCUCUGCUUUUCUGUGCCUUUCAUGAAUAAAUAAAUAAAAUCUUAAAAAAAAUGGAGGGGUAUCUUGUAUGGCUCUAUGCUCAAACUGGAAUAAUAAAAAUAGUGGUUAUAUUUGGUUAUAUCUGCAGAUCUGACAUUAGAUGAGCCAAAAAGGAAUACGGAGAAAGGAAUAAAGAAUAAGGAGAUGGGGUCAUGCCACUAUGGCUACCCAUCUGAAAGAUCUGUACUUGGUUUACCUAGAGUUCUGCUUCCAUUAUGGUGCAAUAAUAAUGGGGAGAGGGAUGUUUGUGUAGGAGAGGUAUCAAUUCUCUGCUCAGAAAAUACAGAUGCUGGGGAUCCCUGGGUGGCGCAGCGGUUUAGCGCCUGCCUUUGGCCCAGGGCGCGAUCCUGGAGACCCGGGAUCGAAUCCCACGUCGGGCUCCCGGUGCAUGGAGCCUGCUUCUCCCUCUGCCUGUGUCUCUGCCUCUCUCUGUGACUAUCAUAAAUAAAUAAAAAUUAAAAAAAAAAAAAAAGAAAAUACAGAUGCUGGGUCACUAUCAGAACUUCAAGGAUGCUCAAAAUAAGCCCAAUAUAAAAUUUUAUGUGAGAUCAAUUUUUAAAACAUUUUAUUUUUAAGCAAUCCCUACACCCAACGUGGGGCUUGAACUCACAACCCCGAGAUCAAGGGCUGCAUGCUCCAUCACUGAGCCAGCCAGGCACCCCUGUCUGAGAUAAAAAUAUUUCUCUUUUUAUAUAUAACAGUCAUGUUCGUGAAUAAUGGCUAUUAAAGAGAAAUAAUCCCUCAUCUCCAAAACAAGAAUGGUUAUGUAUGCAGAGUCUAAAUAAAUUACUAGACCUGUCAUUUUACUCUUAUCAUACUAGGCUCCUGGUUCCUUCUGAACGUUUACACUAAUUCUCUCUGGGUUUUGCAUGACUACGGACACAACUAAGUUUGUGUUCAAAGAUGAAGGGAACAAAAAUGGCCAGAAAACCUUUGGGAGGCUGGUGGGGUGACAAGUCCCAGAAUAGCAGAGACACUACCCUCCUCUACUGACAAGGGAGGUAGGAGGUACAAAGCAGCAUUAGCUUAUGCUGAAUCCCAGUAUGUUGCACAGACUUUUUCUGUGAUCAAGAAUUUUUUUUAAAAGACUUUAUUUAUUUAUUCAUGAGAGUCAGAGAGAGAGAGAGCCAGAGACACAGGCAGGGGCAGAAGCAGAUUUCCCACAGGGAGCCUGAUACUAGACUCGAUCCCUGGACUCUAGGAUCAUGACCUGAGCCAAGGGAGAUGCUCACCAACUGAGCCAUCCAGGUGCCCCUGUAAUCAAGAAUUGGAUUGAUGACCCACUCAAAUAGAAUUUCUACACAUUGUUACCUAGUAGGAUUAUGUUUGAAAUAUGUAAAAUACAGCAAAGCCCAGGCAGACAAAACCUAACUUGAGAAGGUUUACUCUAGCAAGGGAAUUCCAUUUUUAAGAAAAAAUAAGCAACUCAAUGAGGUUGUUCAGUUCUUCCCUCGUGUCCACCCCCCUCCAAUCACCUCUAGCCUUGACUUGAGAGUUUUCCCCUUUUAAGGAUCUUACCAUGGUAACUUGUAGAAGCAAGGUGUAGUGGAGAAAUUAUGGAAGUUUGAUGAUCUGUGUUCUUAUUCCAGUUUUACCACAUACUGGGUGCCUUGGGUGAGACAUAUAUUCCUUCUGUUAUUCUGUUCUGUACAAUUAGGCCCAUUGCUCAGGCUUGUUAAGAUGAUCUAGUGAGGUGUGCCUGAGUGGCUCAGUUGGUUAAGUGCCUGCCUUUGGCUCAGGUAAUGAUCUCAGGGUCCUGGGAUUGAGCCCUGCAUCAGAUUUCCUGCUUAGUGUGGAGUCUGCUUCUCCCUUUCCCUCUGCUCAUGCUUUUUUUCUCUCAAAUAAAAAAAAAUUAUUAUUAUUUUUUAAAAAGAUGAUCUAGUAAGAUGCCAAAUUCCUUUGUGAAUCAUAGAAUUGAUUAGUAUUAAGGCAUUACUGUUAUUUUAAAAUGGAAACCAAAUCAUCGCUGUUUUAUAAGCAUCCUCGGGGAACCCUGACCAUUUUUUACCACUUUAAUAACUUAUAUUGGAGUUUUUAAACUAUAUUAAUCUUUAAGUUCCAAUUUCUAGAUAUCUCUAUUUUUCUGACAGCCUCUUACUUAGGACUAAAUAAAACAGAAAUGUCAGGAGUGAAAACACUUUUUUCCCCCCCAGGUUAUAUUACAAAGGUGAUAACAUUGCUUCUACUACAAAUAUUUUCUAUGAUGAUCAUUCUGGAAGGCAGAAAGUGUGAUUAGUGUAUGACAUGUAGAAGAGAGAAACUUCAGUGAGUGAGGAGGCAGACAAGGGAUAGGUAAACACAGGUUGGUUUUUUUUUUUUUUCUAUCCCCUACAGGUCUUAUAUCAAAAAUCAUUUGAGGCAUACCUGGGUGGUUCAGUUGGUACUCCCAUUGGAUCUGCGCUGAGUUGGUACUCCCAUUGGAUCUGCUCCCAUUGGAUCUGCGCUGAUACUCCCUCUCCCUCUGCCCCUCCUCCUACUCUUUCUAAAAUAAAUAAAUAUAUCUUUAAGAAAUAAUUUGAUAUGAAUAUUUAAGAACUCUUCAUAUUGAUUAGAAGAAAUACACAGUGGAUGAAAUCUGUAGCAUAUUCCUUGGAAGGUAGCUUUUUUUUUUUUUAAUUUAGAAUCCAAUUUUAAUUUAGAUUAUAUUCAUCCAAACUCCUUCAACAAACACUUCACCUCAACAACUUAGUUCAGUACAAUGCUCAGUUUCCCUAUCCCCAAUAUGGGGGUCAGGCAGUUCCACUGAAUGUGAGUUCACUGUAUGUCAGCCAGCACGUCAGAGCCAGCGUCUCUUCUCACCCG
This 3389-nucleotide long non-coding RNA is filed under the name Canis lupus familiaris (dog). RNAcentral describes it as "lncRNA (ENSCAFG00845028024.1)". Lineage: Eukaryota; Metazoa; Chordata; Mammalia; Carnivora; Canidae. The record is from RNAcentral.